Molecule: long non-coding RNA, 271 nt
Filed under: Hordeum vulgare
Lineage: Eukaryota; Viridiplantae; Streptophyta; Magnoliopsida; Poales; Poaceae
Description: long non-coding RNA (HVUL_LNC009914)
Source: RNAcentral
CCAAGGAAGUUUUCUCAAUAUCACUUCUCGAAUUACCCCCAUCUACCACAAUAUUUGUGUAUGGGGGAACUUGUAUUACUUUACCCCAACAACAAGUAUUUAGGUACAGAAGGAGUACAUCAUAGUUGGACAUGCAAAUGUACAAAUAUUUCUACUAGAGUGGAAUGACUAUCUGUAACUGCUCAUCAAGAUAUUAAAGGAUAGGCGGUCGGCCAUCACCAACAUGUUGGGCUAGAGUCACGAGUGCAUUUGACCUGGAGGUGGACACACU